CUUUGGGGUGGGCACUGGGGGAUGGAUUUGACACUGACCAGAGCCAAGGAGCCACAGGCUGGGCUGAUAGCAGCUGGCAUGACCUUCUGAGAUACCACUGAGGGCCUGGCUCCCAAAAUAGUUUUAAUAGGUUGCAAAUUUUUGUCAUUGUUAAUUGCUUUGUUUAUAAUCCAAAUCUGCAGAGUCGUUUUGUUUUAAUGAAUCCAUUGUUGAACGGCAGCUAAAACAUUAGUCUGGUGUCAGAUUUCAUUGCCUCUGCCUGGGCUAUGGUGUAAAAAUGUAAAUAGCUAUUUCCUUGCUCCAGCCAAGGAGCAGUGGGAUCUGUGGAGCACAGCACUGUAGAACAAGAGCAAUCUUAGGUCUAAAAGACAGGAGCUGUGUCUCCCUCUUGCCUCCAUUAUAAACUUCUUUAGUCUUAGUGAGAUCAUUUGCACAGCUGAUCCCCAGGAUCACAAACCACGGAGGGGCCAUGAGACCAAUUCUCCUUGUGUCAGGCCCUCCAAGAGAAGGUGCUGCAGGAAAUGAGAGAGAUUGUUUUUAUUUUAUUGUGUCACUCAGCACCUAGCAUUGGAAAAAUCCUGCGGCUGCAGUUUUGCUCUCUGCAGAGCUUGAAUCUCUGGCAUGGGGAUGAAACAAAUUCCCAGAUAGAUGCAUAAUCUCCUGGGGAUGGGACUCACUAGGAUAGUAGUAGCUGGAAUAUAUGUUUGUUGUUUUAACCUGGUUGUUAAAGGUUGUUUUAACCUGUGCUGGUUCACCCACACAGCUGAGGACUGGAGAAGGCUCCAGUGCUGCAUGAACAGAGUCAUCAUCUGCAUUGCAGAGUCUUCAAAGGGAAGCAGCAGAGGAUGGACAGGGAGAUGUGAUUUCCUUGCUCUGCUUCUGAGCACCAGGAAUGGUGCAUGUCAGGCUGGAGGGGAACACCAGCAGGCUCAGUGUUGGGACUUGCCCUGAAACAGCUACAGAGGAGCUUCCCUGAGAUCCGACAGGAGCUUAUCUGUACUGCAGGCCUCCUCUGGAACGUCAAAGGAACAUCUCGAGUUCAGAAGCCCUUAAUGAACACAGCAGACCAAAUUCUGCUUCAGAAUAUGCAAGUGCGGCUCCUAUUGAAGUGAAUGGGCGCUCUGCCUGCGUCUGAGAUAAGGAUCUGGCUCGUAGCAAGGCUUAAAGGGGUAUGCACUGGCUUUUAAUGGACUGUCACCUACAACAGAAUGGAUUUUUAAGCUGUUUUCAGUUAUUUCUAAUGUUGCAACAGAUUAUCUUUUCUUGUUUUGAUGCUAUAUCUUCUGCAUAAUGGUUUAAUAAGGCAUAGAAAUGGAAAUAAAGCAAUCCAACCAGAGAGUUUAUUGUGGUUU
RNAcentral lists this long non-coding RNA (1352 nucleotides) under Junco hyemalis (dark-eyed junco). RNAcentral's name for it is "lncRNA (ENSJHYG00000005536.1)". Lineage: Eukaryota; Metazoa; Chordata; Aves; Passeriformes; Passerellidae. The record is from RNAcentral.